Molecule: ribosomal RNA, 253 nt
Filed under: uncultured bacterium
Lineage: Bacteria
Description: partial 16S ribosomal RNA
Rfam family: Bacterial small subunit ribosomal RNA
Source: RNAcentral
UACGAGAGGCCCAAACGUUAUUCGGAAUUACUGGGCUUAAAGAGUUCGUAGGCGGCAUUGCAAGUAGGGUGUGAAAGCCCUCGGCUCAACCGAGGAAUUGCGCUCUAAACUGCAGUGCUUGAGGAACCUAGAGGUGAGCAGAACAGAUGGUGGAGCGGUGAAAUGCGUAGAUAUCUGGAGGAACACCGGUGGCGAAGGCGGCGACCUGGUCCGAUACUGACGCUGAGGCGCGAAAGCGUGGGGAGCAAACAGG